RNAcentral lists this ribosomal RNA (433 nucleotides) under uncultured bacterium. RNAcentral's name for it is "partial 16S ribosomal RNA". It matches the Rfam family "Bacterial small subunit ribosomal RNA", at positions 29 to 507 of the family's 1533-position model. The record is from RNAcentral.
AACGAACGCUGGCGGCAUGCCUAACACAUGCAAGUCGAACGAGACCUUCGGGUCUAGUGGCGCACGGGUGCGUAACGCGUGGGAACCUGCCCUUAGGUUCGGAAUAACUCCCCGAAAGGGGUGCUAAUACCGGAUAAUGUCUUCGGACCAAUGAUUUAUCGCCUUUGGAUGGGCCCGCGUUGGAUUAGCUAGUUGGUAGGGUAAAAGCCUACCAAGGCGACGAUCCAUAGCUGGUCUGAGAGGAUGAUCAGCCACACUGGGACUGAGACACGGCCCAGACUCCUACGGGAGGGAGCAGUGGGGAAUAUUGGACAAUGGGCGAAAGACUGAUCCAGCAAUGCCGCGUGAGUGAUGAAGGCCUUAGGGUUGUAAAGCUCUUUUACCCGGGAUGAUAAUGACAGUACCGGGAGAAUAAGCUCCGGCUAACUCCGUG